GGUCAUGUAGCCAAGUGGCUAAGGCAACAGUCUGCAAAACUGUUAUCGCGGGUUCGAUCCCCGCCAUGACCU
Molecule: transfer RNA, 72 nt
Filed under: Candidatus Kuenenbacteria bacterium CG1_02_38_13
Lineage: Bacteria; Candidatus Kueneniibacteriota
Description: tRNA-Cys
Rfam family: tRNA
About the family: Transfer RNA (tRNA) molecules are approximately 80 nucleotides in length. Their secondary structure includes four short double-helical elements and three loops (D, anti-codon, and T loops).
Source: RNAcentral